AAUUCUUCUGAAGCUGGCUGACAAA
RNAcentral lists this non-coding RNA (25 nucleotides) under Cricetulus griseus (Chinese hamster). Lineage: Eukaryota; Metazoa; Chordata; Mammalia; Rodentia; Cricetidae. The record is from RNAcentral.